This 467-nucleotide ribosomal RNA is filed under the name uncultured bacterium. RNAcentral describes it as "partial 16S ribosomal RNA". It matches the Rfam family "Bacterial small subunit ribosomal RNA", at positions 28 to 506 of the family's 1533-position model. The record is from RNAcentral.
GACGAACGCUGGCGGCGUGCUUAACUCAUGCAAGUCGAACGGAAAGGCCCUGCUUUUGUGGGGUGCUCGAGUGGCGAACGGGUGAGUAACACGUGAGUAACCUGCCCUUGACUUUGGGAUAACUUCAGGAAACUGGGGCUAAUACCGGAUAGGAGCUCCUGCUGCAUGGUGGGGGUUGGAAAGUUUCGGCGGUUGGGGAUGGACUCGCGGCUUAUCAGCUUGUUGGUGGGGUAGUGGCUUACCAAGGCUUUGACGGGUAGCCGGCCUGAGAGGGUGACCGGCCACAUUGGGACUGAGAUACGGCCCAGACUCCUACGGGAGGCAGCAGUGGGGAAUAUUGCACAAUGGGCGGAAGCCUGAUGCAGCAACGCCGCGUGCGGGAUGACGGCCUUCGGGUUGUAAACCGCUUUCGCCUGUGACGAAGCGUGAGUGACGGUAAUGGGUAAAGAAGCACCGGCUAACUACGU